GGGAAAGAAGGAGAAAUUUUGUCUGCCCUUGGAAACUCACUGAAGUGUUUGACCCGUGAUAUGGAAUAAACAGUGCAAUUGUUUAAGGUCGUUUUGACAAUGAUGGAUGAAUACAGGUGGUAAGAAAAUACACACCAGUGAGAACAGCUCUGAUGGGACAACUGUCUUGCUACUCUGCUCACAUCAAACUCAAGACUUUUAUUAGUGAAAUCUUGAUAAUUUUUGCACUAUUUUUCUUUCAUCUAAAUAAGAACUAUAACAAAGAUUGAAGAUGGCUGUCCCUCGUGAUGAGAUUAUGUGGAUUUAAAAAUGUUGCUGUCCUUUCUCAAAUAAGCUGAAAACGUAUUGAGUAAAGUUGAGGUCCAAAGCCAGUAUGUCCAAUGACUCAUUGGUAAGUAGACUACAACAUAAUUUCAACAUUUACAACUCCUUCCUCGACUCAUUAUUGGAAUUUUUAUACAUAAUUUUUCAUCUUUUACUGACCCACAUAAUCCAGAAUGCCCAUAUCUAUGAAAUUUAUUUUGUCACAAUCUGAUAUGAUUCCCAUUAAUUGAUUAUUUCUAUCUAAGGAAGAGAGCCCUAAUUUUUUGUGCUUCAUAUAUUUUAAGA
Long non-coding RNA from Chinchilla lanigera (long-tailed chinchilla), 609 nucleotides. RefSeq lists it as uncharacterized. The record is from RefSeq and is a predicted model, not a curated record. The transcript has 3 exons. NCBI's taxonomy places the organism in Eukaryota, Metazoa, Chordata, Mammalia, Rodentia, Chinchillidae.